Molecule: long non-coding RNA, 617 nt
Filed under: Pan troglodytes (chimpanzee)
Lineage: Eukaryota; Metazoa; Chordata; Mammalia; Primates; Hominidae
Description: long non-coding RNA NONPTRT011380
Source: RNAcentral
GUCUUCAUCUGUCACCCAGACUGGAGUGCAGUGGCGCAAUCUUGCCUCACUACAACCUCUGCCUCCUGGGUUCAAGCGAUUUUCAUGCCUCAGCCUCCCAAGAUGCUAGGAUUACAAGUGUGUGCCACCACGCCCUGCUCCUCUGAGAAAUAAAUGAGUAAAAUGCACCCCCUGUGAGUGAGAUGAUGCAUCUGACUUGCAGGAAUAAACCAAGUGACAUCUGGAGAUCACUCAUGGAAGCUGGCCUGGAACAGGGUUGUGAUUUAGCGAGGGAAAGCCCAGUAACCUGUGGUGUUUCCUGUCUGGAAGAAGACAAUAAGACUGAGCCAGGAGUGUGAAGAACAGUGUGGCCUCUGAACCACCUGUCCCAGAGUUGGAAUGGUCACUCACUAAAAUGCAGGUCCUGGGCCCUGCUCCAUCUCUCCCAAGUCAGAACCACUGGCUGAGGGGCUGGGAAUCUGCACUUGACCAGCCCUCUCAGAUAAGUCAUCUGAACACGCAAGCUUGAUGGGCCUUGGCCCUCAGUGCAGGUGUGGGCGGUGCACGCCACCAGGACAAGGACACUGGGUCAGGGUAACCAGGUACUCUUUACAUGUUGAGGAUCACAUAUGGUUUUG